GAGAAUAUCCUUAGAUGGAUGUGGAAACCAACAGAGAAUAAGAAGACCCUUUCGGAAAUGAGUUAACAUAUCAUUAUCAUCUCUGCCAAUUAGCAUUUAUUGAGCAACUGGGCACUUGGAACUUCAAGAGUCUCCACAGAGACUCCAUACUCUGAUCCAUCUGAGAAAGACUACAACUCUGACCACAAACGCCAGCAGCAGACAACAUCAUGAUGCCCAGGAAAGGGACCAGGCUAGCCACAUCCCAAACUUAUCAAACCAGCCAUUUUGUAGUUUGGUCGGAGGAUUCAGAGAACACCUUGAGGAUUGUGGGUGAUUGUCUCCCGUGCUCAGAUGCUUGGUCUCAGACCGUGGUGUUUGGCAGAAAUCAGUGAUUUUUCAGAACAUUGGAAGGUGCCCACAAAUGGUAUCCGACUGUUGCAUCCAACUGUUGCAUCGUGAGCAACAGCAAGAGGUUAUGGAGAUCUCCUCUGCAGAGGAGGAGAUAAAGGUGGACGAGUCCCUCACUUCAAAUGGGAUUAGGGAGAUGCAUAAAAUGUCAGAAACGGGGUAAAAUUUUGUAGAAAACCACCACCUAAAUAAGGCUGUAGCAGUGCAAGUGAUGAAUCUACUUAAUGACAAUGUAAUGUCAUAUUUCCGAGAAAUCCUCAAAAGGAGGCAAAAGCAAGUGCCAUUGGAUAGGUUCCUUGUUAAAGUUGCAUGAAAAGAAAAAGAUUCCAUUGAGCCAAUAGAUAGCAGUGAUUCCAUUAGUGAUAGUGAAAGUAGUCCUACACAAUAACCCUCCUCUCUCUUGUCUCCCUCAGACCAGCCAUGAAGGUUUUCUAAGGUAAGUAUAGGUUAAUUUGUUUUUCUUUAUAUUUUGUCUUUUUAAAAAAUUAUUCUGUAUUAUAUUCCAGUAUGUUAAUCAUUUUUAUGUGAAUAUUUUAGGUUGUGGAAUGAAUCAUCUGAGUUUCCAUUAUUUCUUAUGGGGAAAUCGCUUUGCUAUACAAAUGCUUUGGAUUACUAGCAUGUUUCAGGAACGAAUUAUGCUUCCAAACCAAGGUUUUACUGUACUUACUGUUUGUUUGUUUGUUUGUUUGUUUUUCCUAGAGUGAUAAGUAAUUUAGUUCAUCCCCUUGCCUUCAGGUACACUCACACUGUCUUUUCCAGGAGAUAGGACUUUUAUUAAUAAUUUUCAAAGGAAGAAUUUUAUAAUAAGUUUUACUAAUUUAUUCUCAUUUAGCUUAAACAUGUCAG
RNAcentral lists this long non-coding RNA (1236 nucleotides) under Felis catus (domestic cat). RNAcentral's name for it is "lncRNA (ENSFCAG00000052725.1)". Lineage: Eukaryota; Metazoa; Chordata; Mammalia; Carnivora; Felidae. The record is from RNAcentral.